Molecule: ribosomal RNA, 107 nt
Filed under: Microtus ochrogaster (prairie vole)
Lineage: Eukaryota; Metazoa; Chordata; Mammalia; Rodentia; Cricetidae
Source: RNAcentral
UAUGGCCAUACUACCUUGAACAUGUCCAUUCUCAUUGAUCUUUGAAGCUAAGCAGAAUGGCCCUGGCUAGAACUUGGGAGAUGUCUGAGAUCUGGGUGUUGCCCAGU